GACUCACCUCCCAGACUUCCUGCAACAGACAACUCUAAAUAGCUCGGUCCCACCCUCCAGCAGGGGAGACAUUCCGGUCGGGAAGGGCAGGAGGUUAGAAGGUGGGUGCCCCGCCAGGGCAGUCCAGGGAGACCCAAGGACAGGAGACGCUGGCUGCACAGCACAGGGGCGCACGAAUAGGACGUUUUGUUUACAGGCUUUUGUUAUUAAGGAAAUUGGUGUCAGUCAAGGUAAUUCUAGCUCAGAUGAGCAAUAAAUAUGCUCCCAGCUA
Molecule: long non-coding RNA, 271 nt
Filed under: Homo sapiens (human)
Lineage: Eukaryota; Metazoa; Chordata; Mammalia; Primates; Hominidae
Description: HSALNT0290326
Source: RNAcentral